AACGAACGCUGGCGGCAUGCCUAACACAUGCAAGUCGAACGAGACCUUCGGGUCUAGUGGCGCACGGGUGCGUAACGCGUGGGAACCUGCCCUUAGGUUCGGAAUAACUCCCCGAAAGGGGUGCUAAUACCGGAUAAUGUCUUCGGACCAAAGAUUUAUCGCCUUUGGAUGGGCCCGCGUUGGAUUAGCUAGUUGGUAGGGUAAAAGCAUACCAAGGCGACGAUCCAUAGCUGGUCUGAGAGGAUGAUCAGCCGCACUGGGACUGAGACACGGCCCAGACUCCUACGGGAGGCAGGAGUGGGGAAUAUUGGACAAUGGGCGAAAGCCUGAUCCAGCAAUGCCGGGUGAGUGAUGAAGGCCUUAGGGUUGUAAAGCUCUUUUACCCGGGAUGAUAAUGACAGUACCGGGAGAAUAAGCUCCGGCUAACUCCGUG
Molecule: ribosomal RNA, 433 nt
Filed under: uncultured bacterium
Lineage: Bacteria
Description: partial 16S ribosomal RNA
Rfam family: Bacterial small subunit ribosomal RNA
Source: RNAcentral